Molecule: long non-coding RNA, 9895 nt
Organism: Orcinus orca (killer whale)
Lineage: Eukaryota; Metazoa; Chordata; Mammalia; Artiodactyla; Delphinidae
Exons: 3
Source: RefSeq, a predicted model, not a curated record
ACUAGAGAAUUGAAUAAAAGUCUGUAGGGCCAAAGAGUAGUUUGGGCUAGACAUGUGGAAUUGUACUGAAAACUGCAGAAGUGAAUGGGAUCAGCCAAGGAGAGCAUGGAGACCAAGAAGAGAGAGGACUUGCAAUAUUCAGGGAAGCAAUACAGCUCAGGCUCUAAGAGUCCAGGUGUUGGAACUUGUCACUUCUAAUUGGGUCUAAAUCUCCACUCGGCCUCUCAGUAUUCCAGUAAAAUAAAACUACGAGAUGGUUAUAUAAGAUUCACGUUGAAUAUAAGAACAGAGAAAGGGUGGAACCAAGAGAAUGUUGAAAGGUAUAUUAUGCAAAUUGUAUCUGUAAGAAUUCUGGUACCACUUUUAAAAUAUCAAACAAGGUAGAAUUCAAGGCAAUGGACACUCACUUGUAUAGAUAAAGAGGGACAUUUAAUAAAGAGAAAAGAUCAAUCCACCAGAUGGUAUCCUAAUCCUUUAUUUAUAUGCACCUAAAGGCAUAAAGCAAAAAAUAUAAAUCAGAAUACCAGGACAAGUAGAAAAAUUCAUAAUUAUAGUGAGAAAGAAUAAUACAAGGGAUAUUUUUUUGGUAACUAAUAGUGUUUUCAAAAAUUAUCAGUAAGGACCUCAAAGAUUUUACAAAAUUCUUAACAUAUUUGACCUUAUCACAUAUAUAGAACCCAGCAAAUAACAACUGUUGAAUAACUGGGGAGCUGCAGGUUGAAACAUUUUCAGAGCUUGCACAGGUGGGAAAUCAUUCAGUUGUCAUCAGCCAAAUUGCAGAGUCCUCCUGAAUACUGGGAGCAUUCAGUAGAGUCCUCGGAAGGAAAAUAUUUUAGUAUUAGUAAUAAAAUAACCCUAGAGUAAAACGUACCGUAAACAUGCCUGAUAAAAUUUAAAGAUAAGCCUCAAAAGAGUUAAGAUGAUCUGCCUACUAGAACAAAAUCCUGCACCCUUUAAAGGAAGAAAGCAAUCCCGAUAUUCAACCACAUAAAAUUCACAAUGUCCAGCAUUUAGUAAAAACUUUCUAGCAAUACAAAAACAGUAGGAAAAUAUGACCAAUAAUCAAGAGGGAAAAAUAGUCAAUAUAAACAGCCCAGAAAUUAUAGCAGCAUCUCAGUUGAGGUUAACAUCCAAAGACUUUAAAGAGCUAUUAUAAAUGUUCCCAAGGAUUUAAAGGAAAAUAUUAAUAUAAUAAGGAGUUAAAUAGAAGACAUAAAGGCUACCAAGUGAAGCUUUGAGAGAUUUAAAAAUACAAUUUCUGAAUGAAAAUUUUAUUCAUUGAGGUUAAUGGUAGACUCGACACUGCAAAAUAAAAGGUCAUUGAGUUGGCUGGCCUAGCAAUAGAAACUAAGAGUUUCCUCAGUGAUCUGUGGGACAAUACCAAGAUGUCUAAUAUAUAUAUAUAUAUAUAUAUAUAUAUAUAUAUAUAUAUAUAUAUAUAUAGUUAGGGAACAAUAAAAAUAUUUGAAAAAAUAAUGGCAGAACAUUUCCCAAAUUUAAGGAAAACUAAAAACUCAGAGAUUCAAGAAUCUCAAUGAAGCCAAGCAGGAUAAAAACAAAUAAGGCCACACCAAAGCAUAUAAUGACAAAAUAUCUGAAAACUAGUAAUAAAAAGAAAAUCUUAACAGCAGCUGGAGAAGUUGACAAAGAAACAGAAAGAAAAACAAAGGUAAAAGUCACUAUGUAUGGAUUACUUAUCAGAAAUAGUGUAAGCCAGAAUACAAGGGAAAGUCAUGUUUGAAGUGCUUAAAAAAAAAAACUGUCAUACUAGAAUUUGAUGUCUAUUUAAAUAUCCUUGAAAAUAAUGAUAAAAUACUUCAGUAUUCAACAAAGCCUGAGAGAGUUUGUUGCCAGUAGACUAGCAAUAUAAAAAGUAUUUUUAAAAAUGUACUUCAGACUAAAGGAAAAGGAUGCCAGAUGGAACACUGAAUCUGGGCAAAGAACUAAAGAACACUAAAUAUGGUAAAUAUGUAAGUAAAUAUAAUUUUUCUCAGUUUUAAAUAUUUUUAAAAGAUUAUUUUAAAACUAAUAUAAGAUUGGGCUUCCCUGGUGGCGCAGUGGUUGGGAGUCCACCUGCCGAUGCAGGGGAUACAGGUUCGUGCCCCGGUCCGGGAGGAUCCCAUGUGCAGCGGAGCGGCUGGGCCCAUGAGCCAUGGCCACUGAGCCUGCGCGUCCAGAGCCUGUGCUCCACAACAGGAGAGGCCACAGCAGUGAGAGGCCCGCGUACCUCAAAAAACAAACAAACAAACAAACAAACAAAAAACCCCAAAAAACUAAUAUAAGAUAAAUACAUUAUGGAAUUUAUAUGAUAUACACCAGUAAAAUAUAUGACAAAAAUACCACAAUAAGGGAGAAGAAAAUGGAAUAUGAUUAUUGUAGGAUUCUUACAUUCAUAUGUGAAUUGCUAAAUCAGUAUUCGAAAGUAGAUAGUAAGAAGUUAAAAAUACAUUAUGCAAAUUCCACAGAAACUAGUAAAAAUAAAGUGUACUAACAAGCCAACAGAGGAGAUGACAUAAAUUACUAAAAAUGUUCAAGUAAUCCAAAUGAAGGCAAGAAAAGAGGAAAAAUUUAAAAAGAGACACAAUCAAAUAGAAAACAAAUAGCAAAAUAUCAAAUUUGAACCAAAUUUUGUUGAAAAUUACAUUAAACAUAAGUGUUAUGAACACUCCAAUUAAAAGGCUUGCUUGUCUGACUGGAUGAAAAGGCAAGACUCAAAUAUUUGCUCUACAAGAAAUAGACUUUAGGGACUUCCCUGGUGGUCCAGUGGUUAAGACUUUGCCUCCCAGUGCAGGGGUUGCGGGUUCGAGCCCUGGUCGGGGAGCUGAGAUCCCACAUGCCUCACAGCCAAAAAACCCAAACAUAAAACAGAAGCAAUAUUGUAACAAAUUCAAUAAAAACAUUAAAAAAUGGUUCACAUCAAAAAAAAUCUUAAAAAAAGAAAUAGACUUUAAAUAUAAAGACACAAAUAGGCUAAAUUCAAUGGGUAGAAAAGUAUAUUAAGAAAAACUCUAAUCACAAGAAAGGCUUGUGGUUAUGUUAACAUUAGACAAAGUAUACUUUAGAACAAGCAAUAUUCAGAAAAACAAAGACAUUUUUAUAAUGAUAGAAAGAUUAAUUCAUCAAGAGGUCAUAGAAAUCCUAAAUAUGCUGCACCCAAUAAUAUGCUUCAAAAUGCUUGAGCAAAUCCUAACACUGAAAAGAUACAUAGACAAAUCUGAAAUUAUAGUUGUAGAUUUCAAUGCUCCUCUCUCAAUAAUUGAUGGAGCAAGUAGACAAAAAAUUAAGGAUAUAAAAUCCUGAACAUUAACACAUGAAAAUCUGCACACAAAUAUUUGUAGUAGUUUAUAAUUGCCAAAGUGUGGAAACAACCAAGAUGUCCUUCAACAGGUGAAUGGAUAAACAAACUGUGGUUCAUCUAUAAAUGGAACAGUAUUCAACAAUAAAACUACAUGAGCUAUGAAGCCACAAAAAGACAUGGAGGAAACUUAAAUGUAUAUUUCUAAGUGACAGAAGACAAACUGAAAAGGCUCCAUACUGUAUGAUUCCAACUAUAUGACAUUCUGGAAAAGGCAAAAUUAUGGAGACAGUAAAAAGAUCCGUGGUUGCCAGGGACCAGGGAGAAGAAAGCAAGGAUGCACUGGUGGAGCACAGCGGAUUUUUAGGGUACUGAAAGUAUCCUGUAUGAUACUACAAUGGUGGAUAAAUGUCAUUAUAUGUUUGUCAAAACUCAUAGAGUGUACAAUACAAAGAGUGGACUCAUAUAAACUCUGGACUUUAGUUAAUAAUAAUGCAUCAAUAUUGGUUGGUUCAUCAGCAGAUGUUAACUAAACUUAUCGUGGUGGACAUUUUGCAGUAUAUACAUAUAAUCAUUGUUGUACACCUGAAAGUAAUAUAAUGUUAAAUGUCAAUUAUCUCUCAAUAAAAAAUAAAAUAAUAAAAUGAAAAAAAUAGCGGCUCAUCAGUUGUAGCAAAUGUACCAUUCUAAUGCAAGAUGCUAAUAUUAGGGAAACUGUUGGGGGCAGAAGGUGUGUAUGGGAACUCUGUACUUUUGAUUUACUGUUUGUGUAAACCUAAAACUGCUCUAAAAAAAUUAAGCCUAUCAAUUAAAAAAAAACCUGAACAACACUAUUAACUUGACCUAAUUGAAAUUUGUAGAACAAAUUUCAACCAACCAACAACAGCAGAAUAAGUAUUUUUGAGUAAACAUGGAAUAUUCCAAAACAUUCAACCAUAUUCUUAAGACAGACAAGUUUAAAAAAAUUUGAGGAUUAAAAUCAUACAGAGUAUGGUCACUGCUGGCAGCUGAAUUAAGUUAGUAAUGAAUAACAGGAAUAUAUCAGAAUAUCCUCUAAUACUUGAAUUUUAAACAACAUGAUUAUAAAUAAUCCAUGGAUCAAUGAAGACCUCACAAAGAGAAUUAUAAAAUACUUUGACCUGAGUAAUAAGAACAUAAUAUAUCGGGCUUCCCUGGUGGUGCAGUGGUUGAGAGCCCACCUUCCGAUGCAGGGGACACGGGUUCGUGCCCCAGUCCGGGAAGAUCCCACAUGCCACGGAGCGGCUAGGCCCGUGAGCCAUGGCCGCUGAGCCUGUGCGUCCGGAGCCUGUGCUCCGCAACGGGAGAGGCCACAGCAGUGAGAGGCCCGCGUACUGCAAAAAAAAAAAAAAAAAAAAAAGAACAUAAUAUAUCAAAAUAUGUGGGGUGUAGAUGUGUCCAUGCCAUGACCAAGUGGUGUUUAUUUUAGGGAUGCAAGGCUGAUUCAACAUUCAAAAAUCAACCAAUGUAAUCCACCAAAUAAAAAAUAUAUAUCAUUUCAAUUAAUGCAUAUAAAGCAUUUGAGGGACUUCCCUGGUGGCGCAGUGGUUAAGAAUCCGCCUGCCAAUGUAGGGGAAAUGGAUUCAAGCCCUGGUCCGGAAGAUCCCACAUGCUGCAGGGCAACUAAGCCCGUGCGCCACAACUACUGAGCCCGUGCUCUAGAGCCCGCAAGCAACAACUACUGAGCCCGCAUGCCACAACUACUGAAGCCCGCACGCCUAGAGCCCAUGUUCCGCAACAAGAGAAGCCACCACAAUGAGAAGCCUGGGCACCGCAACGAAAAGUAGCCCCCCACUCACCACAACUAGAGAAAGCCCGUGCACAGCAACAAAGACCCAACGCAGCCAAAAAUAAUAAAAAUAACAAUAAUAAUAAAUAAACUAAAAAAAAGGCAUUUGAUAAAUUCCAAACCCUUUCAUGAUUAAAAACUCUAAGUUAAGAAUAGAGGGAAACUGGGGCUUCCCUGGUGGCACAGUGGUUGAGAGUCCGCCUGCAGAUGCAGGGGACGCGGGUUCGUGCCCCGGUCCGGGAAGAUCCCACAUGCUGCGGAGCGGCUGGGUCUGUGAGCCAUGGCCGCUGAGCCUGCGCGUCCGGAGCCUGUGCUCUGCAACGGAAGAGGCCACAAAAGUGAGAGGCCCGCGUACCGCAAAAAAAAAAAGAAUAGAGGGAAACUUUCUCCACUUUAUACAGAGUAUUGACAGUGACCUACAGAUAACACUGUACUUAAUACUGAAAGACUGAAUACUUUCCCCCUAAGACAGGGUGCAAGACAAGAAUGUCUGCUCUCUUCACUCUUAUUAAACAUAGUGUUGGGAGUUCUAGCCAUUGCAGGAAGGCAAGAAAAUGGAAUGAAAAGCAUACAAAUUAGAAAAGAAGAAAUAAAGGAAGAAAUAAAACUGUCCCUAUUUGCAGAUGACAUGCAUGAUUGCCUAUAUAUUGUAGAAUAUCCCAAGGAACCUACAUUUUGUUAUCUUUUAAAUAACUCCCACAUGAACUUGCAAAGAAAUGUGUUUCAAAGAAGAAUAUAUUCAAAAAAUAAAAGAAGACCAUUAUUUGCUGAUGUGUAAAGGAUUCCUCUAUUCUAUACAAGUGUGUCAUCAGGCUACUUAUGAAAUGUUAAGAGGCUUGGUUGUGUUGACUCUCCACCAGGCUAUAGCCUCAAAGGACUUCAUGUUAAGCUAGGGGAAAUUUGAAGUAGCCAGGAGAAAUCAUUCCAUCUCACCAAGUUGUUCACCCAGGACCACAAAGGACUGUCACACUCUAUGCCCACCAGGGAACAUCAAAGGGGAGAGUGAGUGUCUGGGGGUCAUAUGGUGUGGGUUUGAGUCCCAGCCUUGCCACUUAUAAUUAGCUGGUGCUGCAGACAAACCCCUUCAGCCUCUACUUCCUCUUCGGUAAAACAGGUAUAAAAGUGGUACCUACCUCAGAGACCUGUGCUGAGGAUUAGAUGACGCAAAUAGAGCACUUAACACAAUCCCUGUCACAUAGUAUAGGGUAUUUACAGUAAAGGCUACUUACAAAACCUGUACAAAAUGAGAAACUUCAGGAGAUAAUAACAAAAAUAUACAGAGGCAUAUUUGCUGAUCUUUAUGUUUUCUGCUCUUAUGUCACAUGGCGUGGAGAUCCCUGGUUCUUUGAGCAAAGCCAGAGCCAGCUAUUCAAUACCAAAAGGUGAUGGUAAUGGACUACAUGAUCUUCUCUUUCAGCCUGUUCUUUGUUCUUUUCUUCUGAGAGUUGCAGACACCAAUGGAGUUUGAGAAUCUUUCAUCUUAGAGAGGCUGAAUCUCCUGGAGUUAAGUUGUCCGAAGUUGUUUCCACAUUUGAAAAGCCCUGUGGGACAUUAAUAUGAUGAGGAGCAGAAGAGAGAGAAUCAGCUGCAACAUGAAAAAGUGAUAGGGAAUCAUGUCUGACCAACCACCCAUUGUGAUGGACAGAUUUUCACUCAGAGAAGGCCCUCUCUUCACUCUGCCAACAGCAAGGAGUCCAUAAUUUUAAAGUGUUGGAAGAGGAGCUGUCCCACAGUCACAAACUCUCUGGGUUGUCGUCUCCUCUUUCACUCAGUCUAAGUUCACAGUGAUGGGUGAUUUGGGCAAGAGGCUUAAAGGGAGGCUGGCCAGAGCAGUUCAGUGUCUGUUGACCUGGCAACGGGGUGGCUCCAUUAUUACCCGCCUCUUUUUUUUCUCCUCUGAAACUUCCAUUAUUACCCUAGCAUGCAGAGCUGCUUAUCAGAGUCUUGGUUGCCAGUUCAGCCUUGGGUGGAGGAGCUACUGCUAGUUUUCCUAGAAACUUUAUUCACUGACUAAUUUAUUUGGUGUUUCCCAUUUCGUACUGAAAAAAUGACUUGUGAUUCUUUUCUGCCAGUAUAUGGGGUGGGAAAAGAAAUGUAGCACUCAUCAAAAGUGUCCAGCCACUGUUUGUCACAUGUAGUUAUCUCCUUCUGGGCUUCACUAUAAAUCCUUACUCUUGUUUUGGGUGGAUUAUGCUAGACAUGGGGUUCUUUGUCCCCCAGGGCCCUCAAGGAAAGACCUCAUCCACCCUCCUCCCCAAUUAGUCUCAGGGAGAGGAGGUCAUUUCUCAGAAGCCCUUUGCCUGGCUCUCAUCAGAGGCAGCUCCCUUCACUUUGCCAGGAGGCCUAAAUUAAUUCCUUUAAAAGAAUCUACCACAUGAACAACCUUACUCUGUGACUCUCUCCAUGUCUAAAACUGAUGGAACUGAAUACAACCUCUGAGUUAUAAUUCUUGCCUAGAAACAGCUUUCUUCCAAAGGAGGAUCCUGCCACCUCCCUGCUCUCCUGGAGUGAUCCACCGGGAUCAGAAAGAUGCUCAUCAGGAGGCAUCCAGCACCCUGGGAAUGUGAGGACGGUACAGUCACUGUGUGACUUAGGGCCUUGGUCCCAUUCCCUUCCAGCCUCAAUGGGCCUGUGAAGACGGAAGCCGAGCCAUACAUUCAAAGGAAAAAGGAAGAGGGACUCACAAUUUUUGAGGACAGAUCUGCUGAGAGUCAGGAAUCUGGUGGAGCUUUACCCUACUAGUAGUGGAGGGGGCAAGAGAGGGUGAACUACAGAUGUGAAUAUAUUUGAGGGGCAGCAUGAUCUGGAGAGCAUGUGGAGAGAAGAAGGAAAAUACACACAUGUUUCCAUUUUGACUGUGAGUCAAUGCCGUUUCAUGCAGUGGAAUAAGUGCCUUGAGGGCUGGGGAAAAAAGGUGUUUGCACCAUUUCCAUUCAACUGAGUCAUGUGCCCCAUGAAUGGAGUUUGGGGUAAGGGAAUGAACUCACCACUGACUCUGUUUCCCGUGUUUCCCAUGUUUUCCUGUCCCCUUAUUUCCUUGUUUCACAUGAGAGAAGAGUGAUUUCUUUGAGAUCCUGAAGGGUGAGAUCAAAGCCACUUGUCUGCCAGACAGGACACUGGACACUGGAUCAAGAGAGACAGGAGACCUCCCUGUUCAUGUCUGACCCUACAGUACCAUCCAGGAGAUCUCCCUGGGUCCCGGGGGCAGACCUCACCUCAAAACUCUGGGAUGACCUUGGGAGGAGAAGUCAGAGAUUCAAAGUACAAGAAAGAUUAAAUGUGCUGUUGCAAACAAAAAAUUUUGCAAUUUGUAUGGAAACACAAAAGACCCCGAAUAGCCAAAGCAAUCUUGAGAACAAAAGAAGGGACUGGAGGAAUCAGGCUCCCUGACUUCAGACAAUUCUACAAAGCUACAGUAAUCAAGACAGUAUGGUACUGGCACAAAAACGGAAAGAUAGAUCAAUGGAACAGGAUAGAAAGCCCAGAGAUAAACCCAUGCACAUAUGGACACCUUAUCUUUGAUAAAGGUGGCAGUAAUGUACAGUGGAGAAAGGACAGCCUCUUCAAUAAGUGGUGCUGGGAAAACUGGACAGGUACAUGUAAAGUAUGAGAUUAGAUCACUCCCUAACACCAUACACAAAAAUAAGCUCAAAAUGGAUUAAAGACCUAAAUGUAAGGCCAGAAACUAUCAAACUCUUAGAGGAAAACAUAGGGAGAACACUCUAUGACAUAAAUCACAGCAAGAUCCUUUCUGACCCACCUCCUAGAGUAAUGGAAAUAAAAACAAAAAUAAACAAAUGGGACCUAAUGAAACUUCAAAGCUUUUGCACAGCAAAGGAAACCAUAAACAAGACCAAAAGACAACCCUCAGAAUGGGAGAAAAUAUUUGCAAAUGAAGCAACCGACAAAGGAUUAAUCUCCAAAAUUUACAAGCAGCUCAUGCAGCUCAAUAACAAAAAAACAAACAACCCAAUCCAAAAAUGGGCAGAAGACCUAAAUAGACAUUUCUCCAAAGAAGAUAUACAGACUGCCAACAAACACAUGAAAGAAUGUCAACAUCAUUAAUCAUUAGAGAAAUGCAAAUCAAAACUACAAUGAGAUAUCAUCUCACACCAGUCAGAAUGGCCAUCAUCAAAAAAUCUAGAAACAAUAAAUGCUGGAGAGGGUGUGGAGAAAAGGGAACACUCUUGCACUGCUGGUGGGAAUGUGAAUUGGUUCAGCCACUAUGGAGAACAGUAUGGAGGUUCCUUAAAAAACUACAAAUAGAACUACCAUAUGACCCAGCAAUCCCACUACUGGGCAUAUACCCUGAGAAAACCGAAAUUCAAAAAGAGUCAUGUACCAAAAUGUUCAUUGCAGCUCUAUUUACAAUAGCCCGGAGAUGGAAACAACCUAAGUGCCCAUCAUCGGAUGAAUGGAUAAAGAAGAUGUGGCACAUAUAUACAAUGGAAUAUUACUCAGCCAUAAAAAGAAACGAAAUUGAGCUAUUUGUAAUGAGGUGGAUAGACCUAGAGUCUGUCAUACAGAGUGAAGUAAGUCAGAAAGAAAAAGACAAAUACCGUAUGCUAACACAUAUAUAUGGAAUUUAAGAAAAAAAAUGUCAUGAAGAACCUAGGGGUAAGGCAGGAAUAAAGACGCAGACCUCCUAGAGAACGGACUUGAGGUUAUGGGGGGGGGGGAAGGGUGAGCUGUGACAGGGCGAGAGAGAGUCAUGGACAUAUACACACUAACAAACGUAGUAAGGUAGAUAGCUAGUGGGAAGCAGCCGCAUGGCACAGGGAUAUUGGCUUGGU